CAGUCGCCACGGGAAUACGUAGGGUGCAAGCGUUAAUCGGAAUUACUGGGCGUAAAGCGUGCGCAGGCGGUUAUAUAAGACAGAUGUGAAAUCCCCGGGCUCAACCUGGGAACUGCAUUUGUGACUGUAUAGCUAGAGUACGGCAGAGGGGGACGGAAUUCCGCGUGUAGCAGUGAAAUGCGUAGAUAUGCGGAGGAACACCGAUGGCGAAGGCAAUCCCCUGGGCCUGUACUGACGCUCAUGCACGAAAGCGUGGGGAGCAAACAGGAUUAGAUACCCCUGUAGUCCCUGUCUCUUAUAC
Molecule: ribosomal RNA, 301 nt
Filed under: uncultured bacterium
Lineage: Bacteria
Description: partial 16S ribosomal RNA
Rfam family: Bacterial small subunit ribosomal RNA
Source: RNAcentral